UGGACACACAGGUGAUUGAGGUUACG
Molecule: non-coding RNA, 26 nt
Filed under: Mus musculus (house mouse)
Lineage: Eukaryota; Metazoa; Chordata; Mammalia; Rodentia; Muridae
Source: RNAcentral